CUGGUACAAUGGCUACAAACAGCAGCCUCCUGUUGGUAGUGUAUGCAGCCUGUUUCUUGUAUGGGUUGCUCUAAGGGACCUUGGAGACAGCC
This is a small nucleolar RNA of Otolemur garnettii (small-eared galago), 92 nucleotides long. Its record names the gene SNORA70. It matches the Rfam family "Small nucleolar RNA SNORA70". From Rfam's summary of the family: snoRNA U70 seems to be exclusive to mammals and is a member of the H/ACA class of snoRNA which contain H (ANANNA) and ACA box motifs. NCBI's taxonomy places the organism in Eukaryota, Metazoa, Chordata, Mammalia, Primates, Galagidae. The record is from Ensembl.